GUUCCAAUAAAGCUUUAUUUAUAAAAACAAGUGACUGAACAGACUUGACACACAGGUUGUACUUUGCCAAUUUCUGUUCUAGAAGAUUGACUCACAUCAACAAUAUUUCCAAGAGUCAUUAAUCAGCCACAGAUAGGAUUUACAUAUAAACAGGACAAGUUAUCUGCACAGAACAUCCUAUCAGAAAUGAGCCACUAAUGUCACCAAACUACAAAUCAGAAGCUUGCUUAGUAAUCAAUAGGUCAGGCAAAUUAAAUUGUUUUCUUGAUUUAUGUUCUCCCAAAAUUGACCCUGAGAAAAUGGUUUAAAUUCAAGUAUCUAUUUGGCAGAUAAUUCCUGGAAAUAUUAGUCAGGAAGUAAAGAAGUAAAACAGGGAAAGGAAGGAAGCCAGUAAAAUUUGCCUUGAUGAGCAAGAUCAGUAAGGGCAGCUGGAGCACAAUCUCCCUGGGAGAACAUGCCUCAGAUGUAUCCCACGCAUGAGGCAAGGGAACUGGGAUAUUUAUCCAGUAACUCCAUCAGUCAUUGGUUAAGGAUUGCUUCUGGGAGGGUGGAGGGCAGAGAGGGCUCCAGGCAGAGUGGCAGCUGGAAGUUGGGCAGCAUGUAUGGACAUGGUAAAUGUCAAGGCGAUAGGGGUGGGGCACCAACAGCAUCUGCUAUACCUGUUUUCUCCCAAAUGUUAUUUAUAAUUAGGUAAUAUGAAUUAAUCAGUAAAUCUUCUAUUAAGGGAAUUUUUCUGAAUAGUGGAACUAGUCCUGUAAAAACCAACCAACCUUCCUCUCCAUGGUGUUGGAUAGGUACUAACACGUUUUAAACAGCUAACCUCUUUUCUGUGCACUGUGCUGCCAAGUUUAUUGUUAGAGGAGAACAAAGGCUGGCCUAUGGAAAAGGAGAAAGUAGGCUAGCAGGGGAAGAAGAAAAGUGGGCAAUAAGGCAAGGGAACAAGAACCUGGGAGAAACAGAAGCAGUAGGGGUUGGACAGAAGUAGGGUGAGAAUCAUUUCAGCCUAUGGGAAAGGGAAGAGAUAGAAACAGACCUUUUCUAAUUCCUAAAAUCUAUUUUUUCCUAUUUACUAUUAGUAAUAACUAGUGGCAUAAUUACUAUAAUAAUAAGUGGUGGUGAUGGGAAGAUUUGGGGGUAUUCAUUUUAUGUAUCCAGAGUUAGGGCUUUUGGCUCCUCUCUACCGCUCUCACCAGAGACCGAGUUUUUCUUUUCUUUUGGUUUGGCUGCUUGGGUUUAUAUUUCCUCCCAGAAGGACUGACUGCUUCUGGCCACCUGUAACCUACUCCAGGAGGACCCAAGAUAAAUUACACGGUCACAGCCGAACGUAAGGACAAGAAGGAUCACAACUAUCUUCUUUGUCAGGUCAUGUGGACCCUUAGGGGUUGACUAACCAGGCAGAGUUACUCUAGGAGCAGCUAUGGAAAACUAGAGUGGGUAUGCACUCCCUGGGUCCACACCUCAGUUUUGGAACACAACUCCAUAAAAGAAGGAACUUCAUAAUGCUGGCAUAUUCAGGGCAAAAUAAUUCUUCCUUAAAGCCAAGCAACAGCAGUAUAAGCCUAGCAGUUGAGAGUGUAGGUGUCAGCAUCAUGCAGACCUGAGGUAGACUACUGGCUCAGUUACUUAGCUCCGCUGCAUGUAUUCAUCCAGACAUAAAUGUCAAUACCUCGUUGAGUAUCCUGUGAAGAAUCCACUCUCACAAAGCAUUUGAGGGUAAGGUAGACUUUCUUAAGAUUCGACAGUGGCGAUUGAGAAAGAAUUUACAUCAUGCUACCCAAAGCAAUCAACUUUAAAAUCUGACAUUUGUAUCCUCCCAAGUCCAUUCUUAGCCUUCCUGAUACAAUGAUUUUCUCUCUUUCCUUCCUCCAUACAAUGCUGGGUGUCAUUGGCUCCAUUCUCCUCAUUCUCACCCCUCCUUAUUUUGUCUUCCACCUUGCUACGCAGCUGAGCCCCCUCCAGCUCUCCAGCUCAGCAGCAUAAAGGGUUCUCCAGUUAACAGGAUCUCCUUAGAAGG
This 2014-nucleotide long non-coding RNA is filed under the name Equus caballus (horse). RNAcentral's name for it is "lncRNA (ENSECAG00000044749.1)". The record is from RNAcentral. Lineage: Eukaryota; Metazoa; Chordata; Mammalia; Perissodactyla; Equidae.